Molecule: ribosomal RNA, 406 nt
Filed under: uncultured bacterium
Lineage: Bacteria
Description: partial 16S ribosomal RNA
Rfam family: Bacterial small subunit ribosomal RNA
Source: RNAcentral
AUUGAACGCUGGCGGCAGGCCUAACACAUGCAAGUCGAGCGAGCGGCGGACGGGUGAGUAAUGUCUGGGAAACUGCCUGAUGGAGGGGGAUAACUAUUGGAAACGGUAGCUAAUACCGCAUACUACUAGAUCUGCCCAGAUGGGAUUAGCUAGUAGGUGGGGUAACGGCUCACCUAGGCAACGAUCCCUAGCUGGUCUGAGAGGAUGACCAGCCACACUGGAACUGAGACACGGUCCAGACUCCUACGGGAGGCAGCAGUAGGGAAUAUUGCACAAUGGGCGAAAGCCUGAUGCAGCAAUGCCGCGUGAGUGAAGAAGGCCUUCGGAUUGUAAAGCACUUUCAGCAGGGAAGCGUUACCCAAAGAAGAAGCACCGGCUAACUCCGUGCCAGCAGCCGCGGUAAUAC